This is a long non-coding RNA of Magallana angulata, 328 nucleotides long. RefSeq lists it as uncharacterized. The transcript has 3 exons. The record is from RefSeq and is a predicted model, not a curated record. Lineage: Eukaryota; Metazoa; Mollusca; Bivalvia; Ostreida; Ostreidae.
UUUAAAGCCAAGUCUUCAUCAACGAAAAACAAAGGCACACAGGUUUGGUAUCGUACUGCUGGUAAACAAGAAAGCAAAAAAGAAAAAGAAUCAUUCAACGUGGCAGCUACAUGGCACGAUAUUCAGAAAAAUGUUUAUAAACAGUGCACUGGUGCUAAAAUAACUAAUCAAGAAAACCGAACGAACCAACCAAAUGAAAAUGGAGAUAUAAAUAUUUACUCAACGCCUACCAUGGUGUUUUCUGUGAUCGGAGACUCGGAUAGCUUUGUUCCCAGACCGUGGCCAAAAGCAGUAUUCCAAACAGCUCUGAUUGAAGCAGCAAAAUAUG